UGCCACUGCGCCCAAACAUAACUGAAGGUU
RNAcentral lists this non-coding RNA (30 nucleotides) under Homo sapiens (human). Lineage: Eukaryota; Metazoa; Chordata; Mammalia; Primates; Hominidae. The record is from RNAcentral.